Molecule: long non-coding RNA, 2015 nt
Filed under: Vombatus ursinus (common wombat)
Lineage: Eukaryota; Metazoa; Chordata; Mammalia; Diprotodontia; Vombatidae
Description: lncRNA (ENSVURG00010015300.1)
Source: RNAcentral
CCAGUGUGGGUGUUUGUUUUGCUUGACUAUAUAUGUUUGUUACAAGGGUUUUGUUUUUCUUCCUUGGGGAGGGGAAGCAUAAGGGUGAGGUGGAAGGGACAGAAAGUGGAUCUUUGUAAAAACAAAAUAAAAUUUAAUUCAGAAUAAGACGAGGGUUUUGCACUAGCUGAUCUCUGAGUUCCCUCCUUGGCCCCACAUGCCCCAUGAGCCUGAGCUCCCAGACCCAGGGACACACAGAAACUGGCUCUGCCCCACUAAAGUGAUGCCAGGACAGCCAAACCCACCAAUAUGGACGGCAUAGAAUAUACUACAGGACUGCCCAGGCCAGAGCAUUCACGGAUCGAGGGCCACUCCAUAUUCCUGAAGUAGGUGUGUGUGAUGAUGCUCGUGUCUAUACACUGUCGGAGGUUAGAAUCAUUUAGGGCUGAGGAAGAUCUUAUGUGAUGCCUUAUAUCACGGAAUUCAACCUCCUCGUGCUACAGAUGGAGACAGUGAGGGUCAGAGAGGGGACAGGCCAGACAGAAUCAGAGGAAGCGGCUGAGGCCGAGAGAGGAGAAGAAACUUGCUUCAGGUCCCAGGCAUAGAGCAUCCAAGUCAACAUUGGAACUCAAGUUCUCUGAGUACGAAUCCAGGAUUCGUUCACUGUCUGUGUCUUCCAGUCACAGGUUGAUCUCUUUGACAGCAAGGCACUGUCUUAUCUGAACGAGUCCCUCUGCAUACAGGAGAUUCUUAGAAAUGUAUUGAGGCACAGUGCCUGGCACAAUGUUUAUUGACUGACUGACUGAAUAUACCAGACACACAGCACAAACCCACAGAGACACCCACGUUCCGAGGUACGCAGGCAGACAGGCAGUGUGGGCGUGGGCUGGCAGACCAAAGUCGGGGCUUUCCCCCGGGUUAGGGCUGCCUGGGCUGAGGCCGCAAGAGCAUCGAUUGGGUGCCCCUCACUCCCCUGGGGCUCGGCCGAGUCUGCAGCUCCAGGAAGGGAUCAAAUCAACGGUGAAGUGGAUCAAAGGACCAAGGCCAAUGGGGCAGUGGGGAGUGGGAAUCUGGAAGAGGAGCAGGAAGAGAUCCCGGGACGCCCGAAGCGAGAGAAGACAGCCCGAAUAGUGCUGUGGACACCCGAGCGCUUUCCCCACCCUUCAGUCCUACAACGAAAGCUUGGAAGGCCAAUGUGUGGGCCAGAACCUGGGAGUAGAGGCUGGCGUCGGAGCCAGGGCAGGAACCAGAGACACAGAGAUAGAGACCGAGAGGAGGAGCUUGACGCGGGUCCGGUAAGGAGCUAUGGAUCCCGGGGUCAGAGUGGCCCAGUCAGGGCCCCUGCGCUCAGGAGGAGCCCCGGGCAGGGAGGACCCAGCCACCCGACUCUGGACACUACGCUGCUCAUCCGUUGCAGGGUUUCUGUUCCGGGCAGCGCUGGGUAUGGAGUCAAAGACUUGAAUUCAAAUCAGAACUCAGACACUUGCUGUGAGACCCUGGGCAAGUCACUUAAUCUCUUCCUGCCUCAAUUUCCUCAGGUGUAAACGGGCUUCUACCUCGCAAGGUUGUUGUAUGGAUCAAACGAGGUACAUCUUGUAAAAACUUGUAGCACCAUGCCUAGCACAUAGUAGGUAAUCUUCCCUUCUCUUCCUUCCCUGGGUGAGAAGCGAAUGUGACUGCGAGCGUUUGGUAGUGUAUUGGAGAGAGGCUGGGAGAAAAGCCUCGGUGACAGGAAUCCCAGCCCGGAGGCGCACCAGCGUGUGACCUUGGUCAAGUGCUUCCCUUUCCUUUUCUGGGCCUCGGUUUCUCACUCCGUAAAAUGAGGGGCUGAAUGGAGCUCGUUUGUCUCUUGUCCUGUCUGACCGUCUGUGAUGCACGAAUGUGUAUGUGUGUGAGUGUGUGUAUGUGUGUGUGUAAGAGACAGACAGGCAGAGACAGAGACACAGAGAAAGAGAGGGGAGAGUUGGUGUGUGGUUGUGUACAGGGGCACAUUUCACGACGGUGCUCAUUACAGGCGUGGGUUUUUUUUUGAGUAA